Molecule: non-coding RNA, 135 nt
Organism: Microthyrium microscopicum
Lineage: Eukaryota; Fungi; Ascomycota; Dothideomycetes; Microthyriales; Microthyriaceae
Source: the annotation of a GenBank genome assembly
GCUGUUUUGGCCGAGUGGUCUAAGGUAUUUACGCACCAUUUCAAUACGAAUUAGUCAGAUUGUCUAACUUGACGCAGGCGCUGGUUUUAAGCACCAGUUUCGAAAGAAGCGUCGGUUCGAACCCGACAGACAGCA